Podarcis lilfordi (Lilford's wall lizard) is the source of this 178-nucleotide non-coding RNA. The record is from the annotation of a GenBank genome assembly. NCBI's taxonomy places the organism in Eukaryota, Metazoa, Chordata, Lepidosauria, Squamata, Lacertidae.
GAGUGGGGGACAAUGGCCUGCUGCUCACCCGUGACUCCCAAGCUUCCCCCAAGCUGUCAAAACGAAGGGGGGAGGGGGAAGGCCGCCGACAAUGUGGCAUAGCUCAGCCCCUUCCCCCUACAGCUUGGAGUAGGCUUGGGAGUCGCGGGUGGGCAGCGUGCCGAAUGUCACCCCCCUC